This 97-nucleotide transfer RNA is filed under the name Salinarimonas ramus. RNAcentral describes it as "tRNA-Gly". The record is from RNAcentral. Lineage: Bacteria; Pseudomonadati; Pseudomonadota; Alphaproteobacteria; Hyphomicrobiales; Salinarimonadaceae.
CCUCGCCAUCGAGGGCCGGGGCUUCUUCGUCGUCUCCGACGGCGACGGCACGCCCUACCUGACGCGCGCCGGCUCGUUCGUGCCGAACGGGGAGGGC